CGAACGGGUGAGUAACGCGUGAGGAACCCGCCUCAAAGAGGGGGACAACAGUUGGAAACGACUGCUAAUACCGCAUAAGCCCACGGCUCGGCAUCGAGCAGAGGGAAAAGGAGCAAUCCGCUUUGAGAUGGCCUCGCGUCCGACUAGCUAGUUGGUGAGGUAACGGCCCACCAAGGCGACGAUCGGUAGCCGGACUGAGAGGUUGAACGGCCACAUUGGGACUGAGACACGGCCCAG
RNAcentral lists this ribosomal RNA (237 nucleotides) under uncultured bacterium. RNAcentral describes it as "partial 16S ribosomal RNA". It matches the Rfam family "Bacterial small subunit ribosomal RNA", at positions 99 to 334 of the family's 1533-position model. The record is from RNAcentral.